This is an RNA transcript of Piliocolobus tephrosceles (Ugandan red Colobus), 1647 nucleotides long. It is a transcript of the gene named septin 1, with no coding region annotated. The transcript has 12 exons. The record is from RefSeq and is a predicted model, not a curated record. Lineage: Eukaryota; Metazoa; Chordata; Mammalia; Primates; Cercopithecidae.
UUCCUCUCUGCACACACCCCAUGUCUCACCACAAUGAUGGAGUUACAGUGGGACUUGGAAUCCAGAUGUGUGAAGGAUGGAGGGGUUGAAGCCGCACUCAGCUUCCUGCCCCACCAGAGGAAGUGGGGAGAGACAGCAGGUACAGUGAUGGCUGGCGGAGUCAUGGACAAGGAGUACGUGGGUUUUGCUGCCCUCCCCAGCCAGCUGCACCGCAAGUCUGUCAAGAAGGGGUUUGACUUCACACUAAUGGUGGCAGGAGAGUCAGGCCUAGGGAAAUCCACCCUCAUCAACAGCCUCUUCCUCACCAACCUCUAUGAGGAUCGCCAGGUGCCAGAGGCCAGUGCUCGCUUGACACAGACCCUGGCCAUUGAGCGCCGGGGUGUGGAGAUCGAGGAAGGGGGUGUGAAAGUGAAGCUAACCCUUGUAGACACACCUGGCUUUGGAGACUCAGUGGACUGCUCUGACUGCUGGCUUCCCGUGGUGAAAUUCAUCGAGGAGCAGUUUGAGCAGUACCUUAGGGAUGAGAGUGGCCUGAACCGGAAGAACAUCCAGGACUCCCGAGUCCACUGCUGCCUCUACUUCAUCUCACCCUUUGGCCGGGGGCUCCGGCCCCUAGACGUGGCCUUCCUCCGGGCAGUACACGAGAAAGUCAACAUCAUCCCAGUCAUUGGCAAAGCGGAUGCCCUGAUGCCCCAGGAAACCCAGGCCCUCAAGCAGAAGAUCCGGGAUCAGUUGAAGGAGGAGGAGAUCCACAUCUACCAGUUCCCUGAAUGUGACUCUGACGAAGAUGAAGACUUCAAGAGGCAGGAUGCAGAGAUGAAGGAAAGCAUCCCUUUUGCAGUCGUGGGUUCAUGCGAGGUGGUGAGGGAUGGCGGGAACCGACCGACCGCGGACCCUCCGCUAGAGUGGCAGCAGGACUUUCCUGUUGACCCGACCCUACGGGUCAACGGGUGGGACCCGAAACUCCCUGACGUUCGCUGGUCCGCGCCGACCCCCCUCCAGUGGAGAACCCACAUCACUGCGAUUUCCUGAACCUGCGACGGAUGCUAGUGCAGACACACCUGCAGGACCUGAAAGAGGUGACGCACGAUCUGCUCUACGAGGGCUACCGGGCCCGCUGCCUACAGAGCCUGGCCCGGCCUGGAGCUCGCGAUCGAGCCAGCCGCAGUAAGCUUUCCCGCCAGAGCGCCACGGAGAUCCCGCUGCCCAUGCUGCCUCUGGCGGACACCGAGAAGCUGAUCCGCGAGAAAGACGAAGAGCUGCGCCGCAUGCAAGAGAUGUUAGAGAAGAUGCAGGCCCAGAUGCAGCAGAGCCAGGCCCAGGGCGAGCAGUCAGACACCCUUUGAGGCCACGCCCCGCCCGGCCUUACCUCGGCUCCGCCUUUAGUCGGUCUCUUGUCCAAUCCCCGCGCCCCACACUGCCCAGCGCCCCCUGGAACCCCGUGGGUGCCGCCCUCGCGCAGGCUAGGUGGGGGUUCUACCAGCCCGAGCCCGUAGCCCCGCCCCGGAGCUGGUCCCACCCACCCAGACACCGCCCACUUCCCGGCCGGAGCCUGCGGCCCAGUCUCCGACCGCCCCACUGUCUUCCGGGGUCCCCCCCCGUCUUCUCCCAGACUGUCUUCAAUAAAAACUGAGCUUCCCGCGGCCA